UAUGUGUUGGGUUUCUAAUUGGAUGUUUCUGCUGUAAACAUUUGCUGUGUACUUGGAGGUUUUUAAAGUGACAUGUUUAGUUCUUUCUGCAGGUCUUCAUACAUUAAUUUAAAACUUGCUGUGUACUUGGACUAUUCUAUAUACUUUCUAAAGUAAACUUGCAUUUUAUCUCUCUAUCGUUUACUUUUCAGUGUACGCGUUUAUAAACCUUUGCACAUGCAUCAUGCAUAUCUUAAACUGUAUCUUCUUCAAGUUUCAGAAUUUGACAUUUAUAAAAUAUGGAUCAGAUUUUUCUGUUCCAAGCUUGUACUUUUUGGUAUGUUAGUAUAUGAUGGCUGUUGUUGUCAUUAUUGUUUGUUGGUUUCGUGCUAUACUACUAGACAUCGUUACAACCUCAAAUUUUGAGAUGUAUGAACCCUCGGUUCACAUUCUGUUACUUUGUUAUUUUGACUGAAGCAUACCAGUUGCUCUAGUUUUUCAAUAUUUUCCCGUUAAACUCUUGUAUUAACAUGUCGAAAUGGAAUAACAACAAUCAUCAGUCAACAGUUUUCUAAAAUAGGUCUUAUUGUGUUGUAUUUAGUAUCUUUUUGCCAGUUUCUAUAAUCUAAAGAAAAUUUCUGGUACUGAUUAGUACCAUAUAACUGUGAUAUUACCAAUUUCAAAAUUCUCAUUGAUCUGGUGCAUGUUUUAUGUGAAUUAAAAGAAUCCUUGCUCGUUGAAUUUUGAUAUUACUUUCAAAUUGUUGAUAGGAAUGAUUGUAGUAACAUGGUUCACUGUAGUAAUAUGGAUUCAUUUACCAAUAAAUUUAGUUCUGGUUGUCUUUCACUUUCUACUUUCUGGUGCUGAUUUCGAUUUGAAUUUUGUUAAAUUAUUCUGUGCUCGUUAUGCUUAGUUGUCCUUAUGCUUGUAUAUGCAUUAAUGCAUACCAAAAUUCUCAUAUGUACUUAAUAAUAAAAACAGUGGACUUAGCUUUUUUAUUUGUUAUUUUCAAUACAAUCUGUCUCUGGUAUCAUAAGGAUCAAAGUGGCGGAGAAGCAGAUUAUUGGAAGUGACGUUGUUAUGGAGUGGAAACUGUGGUACCCUUGCUUAAAUCUACAAGUACCAAACAUGAAUUGUACUUCAUAAUGGUGUUAAUGAUAGAAUAUGUAGUCUCUUAAUUCAUCUGUUGGGUGGAAAUAGAAAACAAUUGUUAAACCCUGGAUGAAGCAGAGGUAUAGGAGCUUAUAGGGAUGAAGAAGAAAUAUAGCAAUUGCUACAUUGAAAGAAAUAUGUAGCAGCUCCUAGGGGUGAAGAAGACUCAUAACAACUUCUACAUACAUGAAAGGAGACGCAAGAAACAAAAGAACUUAUUUGAAAAAGAUACGAUUGCAUUCUGCUUAUACUUCACUCAGUCUAAACAAAAUGCAAAAAAACCACAGCCUUACAAUUGAAGACAUUUUUGUAUGCUCAGACCAAAAGAAGAAGAAGAAGAAGAAGACAUUUUUGUAUGCAUUUUGGUGCUUGACCUUGUGGAGAAGAGCUAUAAAUUUUCUUGAAGAUAUGAUGAAUGCUUAUAUUCAUCAAAAUGUUGAAUUGGAAAGUGGAAAUCAAAUCUUACUCAGAAAAUAAUAGAAGCGACUGUUUCACACUAAGAGGAAACUGUGCUUGUUUUGCAUGGUAAGACUUUGGGAAUUCCUUUAGAUCUGCUGUUUGGGUGAGUGGCCAAGUAGCUAGGUACAUUAUAAGAAAUGUGUUUCUUUGUUGCUAGCAUGAGGUCCUUGAAAAAUCCAGAUAAAUUGCAUAAGCAUAUCCUAUCGAUAGUGACCAGUUGAAAAAUCACCAUUCUUGGACGAUUCAUUACUUAUUUUGGACUUGGUCUAUUACUGCAGAAAUGGCACAUAUUGUUCUUUGAUCAAUAAGCUUUGCUUGGAGAAUACCCUUUUCUGUUUAAUCAUGUUAUGGGGUUUAUCUUAGAAGGAAAGUGAUGUUUCAAUCUGUUCAUGAUAUGCUCCUUGCAACUUCUGUAAGUUAAUAAUGGUGAGAAGUGCACAAAGGAUUUUUAGCUUUCUUUCAAUUAUUCUAUGGCUUUUUAUCAUUUUACAGCAUUGUUUUGUUUGUGUCUCCAUUGUGUCAUGUGUAAAGGUUGAAUCCUGUGAAAUUGAUACAAAGUAACCGAGUAAGAUGUUUGCUAGCUUCCUUUUUUGUUUCUUGUUUAGACUUGAUCUUAUUUUCAUUGUUAUCUUGAUAAGGACAAGUUUAAAUUCUUUCACUUUUCUAUUAUUGCAGGGUUUUAUUGAUUAGGUUGGUGGCAGCGUGGAUAUUAAACACAGCUUUGUUGUCUUGGAUGCUGAAAACAGUAGUGAUUUACGCUUGGAAAUGGAAGUUAAUUUGGUCUAUUUGGUGUAGAUUUAUACCUGUUGGGUUAGACUUUACUUUUGAUGAGAUGUGUAUGAGACUGUUGAUGCAAUGAGUGGAAGAAUCUCUAUAGGUUAUCUACACUACUUGUGCUUAUGGGAAUUGGCAUGGCUAUCCUUUUUGGGUAUAAUUCCCAGUUAUGAGUCAUUUUGAAAGGAGUUCAUAUUUUCUUGUAUGAGUUGUAUCUGUUGUGUUUCCUUCUACUUCAUCUCAUUUUAACUUGAGCGAAGUUUUAUGAUACUUUUUACCACCAUGUAAUUGUGAUCUUACCAAUCAUUUCAAAAUCUUCAUUGCUCUGGUUUUCGGGUUUUAUGCGAAUUAACAGGUUUGUAUUUUAAUCUUUUUGCCAGUUGAACAUGUAUAUACCACUUUCAAAUUGUCAAACACAAUGAUUGUGGAAUAUAGUUUCACUGUUCAAAUAUCGAGUACUGAGUUGUUACAAUUAUGUUUAGUUUGGUUGGUCUUUCACUUAAGUUUUUUUGUUCAUGGCUUUGAAUCUUAAAUUGAUAUAUUAUAGAACAAUUAAUUCUGUGCUUGCGAUGCAAGUUGUUGCAUGUUUGUUCAUGUAUAUGGAGAUUUGCACCUGUAUACUUUCGUUCUCUAUAGUAGGAACUAGGAAAUCGUCCCUAAAAAAAAUCGACGUUUUAUUUUUAUGAUCUUCUGACAUCUAGCUCAUAUGGAGAGAAGAGAACCAGAUCGAAAGAACUGAUCAUAUGAAGAAGAUAACUUACCUUCUGCUUAGACUUCGCUGCGUUUAAACAAAAUGCAACCAUAGUCUUACAAUUUGGUGCUUGAGCAGAUUGAAUUGGAAAGUGUAAACAAGUCUUACUCCAGCAACUAUUUCACAUGGUGGACACUGCUGCUAGUCUAGGGAGGUUCUGGUAUCAAAUAUUAGUGGAAAG
Rosa rugosa (rugosa rose) is the source of this 3296-nucleotide long non-coding RNA. RefSeq lists it as uncharacterized. The transcript has 3 exons. NCBI's taxonomy places the organism in Eukaryota, Viridiplantae, Streptophyta, Magnoliopsida, Rosales, Rosaceae. The record is from RefSeq and is a predicted model, not a curated record.